UUUCCGGUUGAUCCUGCCGGAGGUUACUGCUAUCGAGGUUCGACUAAGCCAUGCGAGUCGAAUGUAGCAAUACAUGGCGAACUGCUCAGUAACACGUGGACAACCUGCCCUUAGGUUGGGUAUAAACCCGGGAAACUGGGUAUAAUACCCGAUAGGUCUCGAUUGCUGGAAUGCAUCGAGAUUUAAAGCUCCGGCGCCUAAGGAUGGGUCUGCGGCCUAUCAGGUAGUAGUGGGUGUAGCGUACUUACUAGCCUACGACGGGUACGGGUUGUGAGAGCAAGAGCCCGGAGAUGGAUUCUGAGACACGAAUCCAGGCCCUACGGGGUGCAGCAGGCGCGAAAACUUUACAAUGCUGGCAACAGCGAUAAGGGAACCUCGAGUGCCAGGUUACAAAUCUGGCUGUCGAGAUGCCUAAAAAGCAUUUCAUAGCAAGGGCCGGGCAAGACCGGUGCCAGCCGCCGCGGUAACACCGGCGGCUCGAGUGGUAACCGUUAUUAUUGGGUCAAAGGGUCUGUAGCCGGCCGGAUAAGUCUCUUGAGAAAUCUGGCAGCUUAACUGUCAGGCUUUCAGGAGAUACUGUCUGGCUCGAGGCCGGGAGAGGUGAGAGGUACUUCAGGGGUAGGGGUGAAAUCUUGUAAUCCUUGAAGGACCACCAGUGGCGAAGGCGUCUCACCAGAACGGACCUGACGGCAAGGGACGAAAGCUAGGGGCACGAACCGGAUUAGAUACCCGGGUAGUCCUAGCCGUAAACGAUACUCGCUAGGUGUCGGCCACGGUGCGACCGUUGUCGGUGCCGUAGGGGAGCCGUGAAGCGAGCCACCUGGGAAGUACGGCCGCAAGGCUGAAACUUAAAGGAAUUGGCGGGGGAGCACCACAACGGGUGGAGCUUGCGGUUUAAUUGGAUUCACGCGGGA
RNAcentral lists this ribosomal RNA (914 nucleotides) under uncultured Methanosaeta sp. RNAcentral's name for it is "bacterial SSU rRNA". It matches the Rfam family "Archaeal small subunit ribosomal RNA", at positions 1 to 922 of the family's 1478-position model. The record is from RNAcentral. Lineage: Archaea; Methanobacteriati; Methanobacteriota; Methanomicrobia; Methanotrichales; Methanotrichaceae.